This 305-nucleotide ribosomal RNA is filed under the name uncultured bacterium. RNAcentral's name for it is "partial 16S ribosomal RNA". It matches the Rfam family "Bacterial small subunit ribosomal RNA", at positions 505 to 807 of the family's 1533-position model. The record is from RNAcentral.
ACAGCAGUCGCCACGGUAAUACGAAGGGUGCAAGCGUUACUCGGAAUUACUGGGCGUAAAGCGUGCGUAGGUGGUGGUUUAAGUCCGUUGUGAAAGCCCUGGGCUCAACCUGGGAAUUGCAGUGGAUACUGGGUCACUAGAGUGUGGUAGAGGAUAGUGGAAUUUCCGGUGUAGCAGUGAAAUGCGUAGAGAUCGGAAGGAACAUCUGUGGCGAAGGCGACUAUCUGGGCCAACACUGACACUGAGGCACGAAAGCGUGGGGAGCAAACAGGAUUAGAUACCCGGGUAGUCCCUGUCUCUUAUAC